CGGAGGAUCCAAGCGUUAUCCGGAAUCAGUUGGGUUUAAAGGGUCCGUAGGCGGUUUAGUAAGUCAGUGGUGAAAGCCCAUCGCUCAACGGUGGAACGGCCAUUGAUACUGCUAAACUUGAAUUAUUAGGAAGUAACUAGAAUAUGUAGUGUAGCGGUGAAAUGCUUAGAGAUUACAUGGAAUACCAAUUGCGAAGGCAGGUUACUACUAAUGGAUUGGCGCUGAUGGACGAAAGCGUGGGUAGCGAACAGGAUUAGAUACCCUGGUAGUCCACGCCGUAAACGAUGGAUACUAGCUGUUGGGGGCAACUUCAGUGGCUAAGCGAAAGUGAUAAGUAUCCCACCUGGGGAGUACGUUCGCAAGAAUG
RNAcentral lists this ribosomal RNA (367 nucleotides) under uncultured organism. RNAcentral's name for it is "bacterial SSU rRNA". It matches the Rfam family "Bacterial small subunit ribosomal RNA", at positions 526 to 896 of the family's 1533-position model. The record is from RNAcentral.